UAGCUAGUGGUAAGGUAACGGCUUACCAAGGCAACGAUACGUAGCCGACCUGAGAGGUGAUCGGCCACACUGGAACUGAGACACGGUCCAGAUUCCUACGGGAGGCAGCAGUAGGGAAUCUUCCGCAAUGGACGAAAGUCUGACGGAGCAACGCCGCGUGAGUGAUGAAGGUUUUCGGAUCGUAAAACUCUGUUAUUAGGGAAGAACAAAUGCGUAAGUAACUGUGCGCAUCUUGACGGUACCUAAUCAGAAAGCCACGGCUAACUACGUGCCAGCAGCCGCGGUAAUACGUAGGUGGCAAGCGUUAUCCGGAAUUAUUGGGCGUAAAGCGCGCGUAGGCGGUUUCUUAAGUCUGAUGUGAAAGCCCACGGCUCAACCGUGGAGGGUCAUUGGAAACUGGGAAACUUGAGUACAGAAGAGGAAAGUGGAAUUCCAUGUGUAGCGGUGAAAUGCGCAGAGAUAUGGAGGAACACCAGUGGCGAAGGCGACUUUCUGGUCUGUAACUGACGCUGAUGUGCGAAAGCGUGGGGAUCAAACAGGAUUAGAUACCCUGGUAGUCCACGCCGUAAACGAUGAGUGCUAAGUGUUAGGGGGUUUCCGCCCCUUAGUGCUGCAGCUAACGCAUUAAGCACUCCGCCUGGGGAGUACGACCGCAAGGUUGAAACUCAAAGGAAUUGACGGGGACCCGCACAAGCGGUGGAGCAUGUGGUUUAAUUCGAAGCAACGCGAAGAACCUUACCAAAUCUUGACAUCCUUUGAAAACUCUAGAGAUAGAGCCUUCCCCUUCGGGGGACAAAGUGACAGGUGGUGCAUGGUUGUCGUCAGCUCGUGUCGUGAGAUGUUGGGUUAAGUCCCGCAACGAGCGCAACCCUUAAACUUAGUUGCCAGCAUUUAGUUGGGCACUCUAGGUUGACUGCCGGUGACAAACCGGAGGAAGGUGGGGAUGACGUCAAAUCAUCAUGCCCCUUAUGAUUUGGGCUACACACGUGCUACAAUGGACAAUACAAAGGGCAGCUAAACCGCGAGGUCAUGCAAAUCCCAUAAAGUUGUUCUCAGUUCGGAUUGUAGUCUGCAACUCGACUACAUGAAGCUGGAAUCGCUAGUAAUCGUAGAUCAGCAUGCUACGGUGAAUACGUUCCCGGGUCUUGUACACACCGCCCGUCACACCACGAGAGUUUGUAACACCCGAAGCCGGUGGAGUAACCAUUUAUGGAGCUAGCCGUCGAAGG
This 1229-nucleotide ribosomal RNA is filed under the name Staphylococcus equorum. RNAcentral's name for it is "bacterial SSU rRNA". It matches the Rfam family "Bacterial small subunit ribosomal RNA", at positions 242 to 1462 of the family's 1533-position model. The record is from RNAcentral. Lineage: Bacteria; Bacillati; Bacillota; Bacilli; Caryophanales; Staphylococcaceae.